Molecule: long non-coding RNA, 5034 nt
Filed under: Homo sapiens (human)
Lineage: Eukaryota; Metazoa; Chordata; Mammalia; Primates; Hominidae
Description: non-protein coding lnc-GCSH-4:2
Source: RNAcentral
AGGUCGCUCCCGCGAUGGAGGGAUGUGCGGGCGGGCUAGGAUUCCGUGGUUAAGCCUGUGGCCUCUGGAGCCGCGAGUUUGAAUCCUGGUUGCAGCUGUUCCACUUACUAGCUCUGUGGCCAUGGGUAAGGUGCCCAUCCUCAGUUUCUCCGUCUGCAAAAUGAAAGCGAAUUCUUAGUGUUGUUGUGGACUCAUGAGAUGAUGCAUGGAAGCAAGGGCGAAGUCGCUGUAGCUUUCUUUAUUUAUGAGAGAAAAGGAGCUGCCCAGGUGAGAGGACAAAAACCCGAGAAAACAGACCCGGAAAAGAUGGUUUUGGUUGCGGGCUAGGAAGGAGAUGUAGCAGAUGAAGCUGGAGAAGUCCGAAGGAGGCCUUAAAUUUUGCAGGGCCUCCUUGGUGUGGGAAGGAGUUUGGUUUCUGCAGUGGUGAAGAACCAUGGAAGUACCGUAUUUAGCAGGGGAUUUUGUGCAGGUCACUCAGCUCCUGCGUGGAGAAUAAGGCGGGGAUGGAUGUGCUAAAGGCAGAUCGAUGCUUAGGUAUUGCAGGACUAGAGAGAAGGGAAUGGGCACCUGGAUGAAAGGGUGAUGCGGGGGCGGGGGUAGACAAUAGUGGAUUGUUUUAAAAGAAAUUGUGAGGGAGAGGGAGUUAAGGAUAAAUAUUCUGUUUGAGUAACUGCAUGCAUGUUUGCACCUUUCAGGGAGAGCUAGGAAAUGCUGAAGGGGUGGGCAGUAGAGAGGCAGAUGUUUAGAUUCAGACAGGCUCCCAACCCAGUGAAGAUCAAAGCUGUGAUAGAAAGGAUCGCUGGGUCAGCUCAGCUGGCAGGCCAAGCCCCACGGUAUCUGAAGUUUCCCUGGAGGUUGCUCAGGGCACAUGGGAGUGUGGAAUGUAGCAACCAUUUUGUGCAAACGUUAGGGACUCCAUAAGCCUCUAAAAAAUUAGCAAUUGUAUGAGGACUCCGGACCAGAAGAAUGUGGCUAGCAUUCCAGGCAAGACAGGAUGGAAUUUUCACUGUCCUUCAACCAACUGAAAGGCUCCAAUAAAGUCUUGGGUAUUUACCCUGAACCAGCCAAGGCUUUGGAGUCACUGGCAGGAAUCCGAGUAUCUAACUGUUUUCAGGGCAGAAUAGAUGGGGAGGGUACGGCUGUGGAAGACACAUGCAUUUCCACUUUCUUCUGUAAAUGCAGCUCAGUGUUCCCGGAUGCAAUGAUAAAGAUGUCUAGGAUUUGCUUCAAAACAAAACAAAGGGAUGGGGAAGCAGAUGGGAGUGUAGAUGAGUCAAAAGUGGCCGCAAGUUACUAAUUGUUAAAGCCACGUAAUGGGGAUGUGGAGAUUCGUUGUACUGUCUCUAUAUUGUUGUGGAUGUUUAAUGGGGAUGUGGAGAUUCAUUGUACUGUUUCUAUAUUUUUGUGGAUGUUGAAAAAUAUUUUCUUCUUUCUUUUUUUUUUUUGAGAUGGAGUCUCCCUCUAUUGCCCAGGCUGGAGUGCAGUUGUGCAAUCUCUGUUCACUGCAACCUCCGCCUCCCGGGUUCAAGUGGUUCUCCUGCCUCAGCCUCCCAAGUAGCUGGGACUACAGGCAUGUGCCACCAUGCCUGGCUAACUUUUGCAUCUUUAGUAGAGAUGGGGUUUUACCAUGUUGGCCAGGCUGGUAUCGAACUCCUGACCUUGUGAUCCGCCCACCUUGGCUUCCCAAAGUACUGGAAUUACAGGCAUAAGCCACCACACCCGGCCGAAAAAUAUAUUUAAAAAGGUAAGAAACACACAAGACAAGCAGCUUGGACUUAUCUUCUCCAUGAUACCUACCCAGUAUCCCUGUGAGCAGCUGACAUUCCUUUCUCCAAGCAGUUGCUGUAUUUUGAACAUUGCUCGAGCAAGAAACUUUUUAUAAUGGGUUUAUUUAUCCAUGUCACCUGCUAUACUAUGUUUAUUGUAGCUCAGCAUGAUUUCCAGGUACCAAGCACAGUACUUGGUGCGUAAUAGUGCUAACUGAAUGUUGGAUGGAUGGAGGGAUUAAAAAAAAGAAAAACACCUGAAUAUCAGACACUUAAUAAAUGUUUCUUGGGAGGCCGAGAUGGGCGGAUCACGAGGUCAGAAGUUCGAGACCAGCCUGGCCAACAUGGUAAAACGCCGUCUCUACUAAAAAUACAAAAAUUAGCUAGGUGUGGUGGCAGGCACCUGUAAUCCCCACUGCUCAGGAGGCUGAGGCAGGAGAAUCACUUGAGCCCGGGAGGCAGAGGUUGCAGUGAGCCGAGAUCACGCCAUUGCACUCCAGCCUGGGUGACAGAGCAAGACUCUGUCUCAAAAAAAAUAAAAAAUAAAAUAAAUAAAUGUUUUCUGAACUGUAUUCUCUAUCUGUUCUUAGUUAAUUUGUGUUUGCCAUUUUUAAAGUCAAAAACCAGGGAGAGUUCUCUACACAAUGUAAAUAUUUGAUAAGUACUUAUUAAUUGCUUAUUGUGCUAGUCUAUUCUUUAAAUAUCAGAGGUUCCAAAACAAAGAGCUCCAAUAGUAGGAUCACAGUCAGGUAACCAAUUAUCCGAGUAGGAAGGUUGCCUUAGUUGAAGUAACUGGAGGUGAAUGGGGAUUUGUCAGGCAGGCUCUUCCAGAUAAAGGUGAACCUUCCCUGUUGUUUUGAUAGAAGGAGGAAAUGGAAUGACCAUCAAGAGAAAGGUAGUUGCUGGCUUGAGAGGAUCAUCUGUGCAACAGGCAGCUAAGCAGAAGAAGACUUUAUAUAUAUUUUUAAUACCACCCACACUGUUGCUAGUAUUCCCCACCACUCCAUUGGCCUGGUGAACUCUUAUUCAUCCUUCAAAACCCAGCUUAACCAUGGCCUUCAGGAAAUCUUGAGCUGGCUUCCCAGGACAGAGUGGGUCAGUCCUCUGCAUGCUCCUGCUGCUGUGCUGUACUCACCAUACUGUACUGUAAUUUACUGGUUUGUAAGUCAUUUCCACUGCUGGGUUGUGAGCUCCUCCAAGGCAGGGGCUUUGCCUUAUCUGCCUAUGUUCCCAGGACUUACACAGUGCCUGAUGUGUAGUAGGUACCCCAUGAAUGUUUUACAUAAUUAGCAGGAGCGUAUCAGGUAAAUUAGCAAAGCAAACUGUGGGAUGUGGGAUGUCAGACAAUAGGAGUAGGUGGGCUUAUGGGAGCUGAAGAGCACAUGCUCCUCAGCUCUGAUUGAUUGCUCUGUGCGAUAGGGGCCCAGUGGUGGUGGAUCUAACAACUUUUUAAGAGAUUCUGACAAUUCAGACUUUACAUGUUGAAUAUUCCGGAUUUUCAACAUUAGCAACUAAUUCCAUUUGGAGGAAAAAAUGUAGCAUGGGUCUACAGACAAGAUCUGGCUGUAAUUCAUGUUCAGAGGUAAUCAGGAAACGAUUAGUUUACUGAAAAUGUAGUCGACAAUCAAAUGGCUGCUAGGUUGCCAAUAAAAUGUGUUGAGUGGAAUUCACAUGCCCCAGAAAGCUCCUCCUGGUGCUGUGGGCAAGGAAGAGGGCCCAAGUGUGGGAAGAAGGAUUCAGGAGGCAGAGCCAACUCUCCCAGUGCUGCCGGAGCCACUCUUGCUUGAGCUGAAGUACUGUGGACUGUUUUGCAGCCUUCUUGAUAUUGCUCAAACUGAGCCACCCUUGAUAUUGUGCCUAUCAGAAUGAUGGAUUAAAUGUUAUUGUUUCCUUAUAUUCCAUAGGCAUCAGAUAUCAACUGUCAUUGUGAAACAUAUUACAAUGUAAGAGAUUUGAUAUUGUCCUAACAGCUUUAGUCUCUGGUGGCUUUACUGAGCUCUUCUGGUUUAGAGGUGAAACAACCCAGAGAAAGGAUUUAUUUAUGUAUUCGUUUUUGGUCUGAAGACCAAAAAGGAUGUUUGCAAGAUAUUAACAGUAAUCAUUCAUUCAACAACUGUUUUUAAAGCACCUGCUGUACGAUACCUGCUACAGAUACAGUGAUGGUGAAAGUAUAGUUGUCUCAGUGUUAUUAUAGAAGCUUUUACUCUGUAUUUUCCUCGAUUUCUAUUUUCUGUACUGAUCAUGCAUAAUUUUUUACAAUCAUUAAAAAAACAAGAAAGCAAUGUCUUUUUGCAAAAAGGGAAAAAAAAGCUUUCUUUUGCUUUGAAAAAUGUGCCCUCAAGAGAGGAAUCCACUUGGGGGGUUGGGCUUUUAUUUCCUAAAAACUACUUAGAGAGUCCAGUAAGAGAAAUAAUGCAAAGAAAAUAUUAACAGUUUGAAAAUUCUUUAGCAAAUAUCAAGUCCAACGGAUUUAUCUUAUUGAAGAGAAAACCAAAGUACAGAUGAGCAAAUGACUCAGUCAAGGUUAUAGGUGUGACCCAGUCAGGGCAGAACAGACUAAGGUCUAGAUCUUCUGCUUUCCAGCCCUGUAAGCUUUUCCAUUACACCAAGUCGACUUGUCAUAAACAUUCAUUUGUUUGAGACAGUCUCUUCUGAUUCAUUUUAAGGUAGUCUUCAGAUAUUUUAUUGGGUAAAUCUUUCAUUUGUCCAAAUCUAUAUAUAGCUGUUUUCUUUCCAAAAAAAAGUCUAGGCUCUUUCAAAUUGCUGAGUCAGAGAACAUCUCAGUAUUUAUAACGCUUCAGAGUUGGUUCUAUAUAUUUACACAGUACUCAGAGAAGUGUCUCAGAAACCGGUGAACUAAUUAAAUUGUAAUGAAACUCCAUGAAGGUCGUAACUGUUCCUAUCCAAAUUCAUCAUGUAUUCUACCCCAGCACCCAGUACAGUGCCUGACACACAGUAGGUGCCCAAUAAAUAUUUGCUGAAGGAAUAAAUUCUAAUAGAAUUGAGAUUUUUCUGUUUACAAGGGAUUACUUCACAUGUUAUUUUUCAUAUUUCCCCAAUGAACUCAAAACGGAAAUAUUCACCAGCCUGCUUAACAUUGCCAUUUGAAUAAUAGAAACCUAGAAUUUAACACCUCAGAAAGUAAGCUUCUACUUAAAAAAAAAAAUUAGCUGGGUGUGGUGACACCUACCUUUAGUCCCAGCUACUCGGGAGGCUGAGGUGGGAGGAUCACUUGAGCCCAAGAGGUCGAGGCUGCAGGGAGCCGUGA